UCUCUCUCUCUCUCUCUCUCUCUCGAUUUCUUCCGUUGGUGGAUUUAGAUGUAAAUAUGUUGAAUCUUUGGGCGUGGUGAGAAACUUCAUUGGUUUCCCGGCCGACAACGAAAGAGAAGGCUGACCGGCUUCUAGGGUUUCUUGGUUAUUUUCUUGGAUUAUCUUGGGUGAAAAGCAUGAGGACGAGGCCUCGAGAUGACGACAAUGCAUCCAGUUCGAUGUGGCCUAAGCAAUCUAAAGGCCCAUCGUGAGCUCCCUGAUCAUGUUUCACUAUCCCUUACCGUUUUCUUGAAGUUCACCCUUUUCUGUUUAUCUCCACACGUUCUCUUCUUCUAUGCUUCUCAAUGGAAUCUUUCGUUGUUUUGUGUACUGCAGAUGAUCGCUCGCUAUGACAUGCUAUAGAUCGUGUUCUUGCUGUUCUAUAAUUCCAUGUAUUAGUACUUCGAUUUGGGGGCAUAAUUUCAUCUUUAUUGUUUUCUUUAUUGAGUUGAAGGUCCAGUCAUAGUGAUUCUAAGCCAGGAAGGGGUGAUGCCAGAGAGUUCCUGGCUGUAGUCAAAAGGACACUUCACAAUGAAGCACAUACACAUGAUCAAUUCGUUGAUAUCAUGAAGAGUUUAGAGAAUUCAAGAAUCGUUUUUCAGAUGAACCUGACAAGUACUGUUCGAUUUGGACAUCCUGAUAAUCCAUAGGACUAAUUGCAUGUUCAUUGAUGACGUUUAGCAAGAGGUUUUAGGUGUUCUUUUUUUUUUUUUGUAUAAGCUUGAUUGUGCGAGUAUUUAUUUUUGGAUAGAUCUUGACUUGAAGUUUCCAGCUGUCCAUAUUACUUGCCACCAUGAUGAUUUGCUUGAAGUGUUAAAGUCUCUCUUACCUGCUGGACAUGGAGCAGAGUCUAUUCAUCAGACAUCGUCUUGUAGAUCUUUAGGGUACCAGAACGAAGACAAUGAAGAAUGAAAUCCUAGCAAAGCAGAUUUAGAGCUUGAUCUUUCUAAUUGUCAGCAGUGUACCCUUGUUCCUGCUUCCUGCCUGAGAAUUAUCAAAUGCCUCCUGCAAGCAACAGACUUGAGCUGGAUGCAUCGGUACUGAAUAAUGUUGUGGUAUCCAAAACUUCUGGAUGUAAGGAUUCUUCUAAGGACAGGAAAAGAAACAAGUAUGAAAAAAUGGUACUAAAAUGAGAAGAUGAUAAGUAUUGAUUCCAUAUCAAUUAUUUACCAUCUCCAGCUUGCAGUUUGUUCAAGGGUUAAAAACAGUUAUCUUGAUUGCAACCCUUUUUUAGAUUUAAAAGGUAGCUUCAGGCUGGCAGGCAGGCUUAUCUUGAUUAAACUUUAGUUGUUAU
Molecule: long non-coding RNA, 1333 nt
Organism: Musa acuminata AAA Group (dessert banana)
Lineage: Eukaryota; Viridiplantae; Streptophyta; Magnoliopsida; Zingiberales; Musaceae
Exons: 4
Source: RefSeq, a predicted model, not a curated record